Molecule: ribosomal RNA, 409 nt
Filed under: uncultured organism
Description: bacterial SSU rRNA
Rfam family: Bacterial small subunit ribosomal RNA
Source: RNAcentral
UGGAUAAGGCAUGCAAGUUGAACGGAACUAAUCAGUGGAAGUAUGGAAUGAGUAGCAAUACAAGUGAAGUAUGGAAACUGACAGUUUAGUGGCAAACGAGGUAGUAAUAUUUAGGAACGCACCCCGAAGUCACGAAUAGCCCACCGAAAGGUGGAGUAAUACGUGAUAGUCUCGCAAGAGUAAAGAUUUAUCGCUUCGGGAGCGGCUUAAACAGUAUCAGCUAGUUGGUAAGGUAAUGGCUUACCAAGGCUAUGACGCUUAGGAGAGGUGAGAGCCUGACCUCCACCGAUGGGACUGCGACACGGCCCAUACACCUACGGGUGGCUGCAGUCGAGAAUCUUCCACAAUGGACGAAAGUCUGAUGGAGCGACGCCGCGUGAUCGAUGAAGUGCUUCGGUAUGUAAAGAUC